AUUGAACGCUGGCGGCAUGCCUUACACAUGCAAGUCGAACGGCAGCACGGGAGCAAUCCUGGUGGCGAGUGGCGAACGGGUGAGUAAUAUAUCGGAACGUGCCCAGUCGUGGGGAUAACGUAGCGAAAGCUACGCUAAUACCGCAUACGAUCUACGGAUGAAAGCGGGGGAUCGCAAGACCUCGCGCGAUUGGAGCGGCCGAUAUCAGAUUAGGUAGUUGGUGAGGUAAAGGCUCACCAAGCCGACGAUCUGUAGCUGGUCUGAGAGGACGACCAGCCACACUGGGACUGAGACACGGCCCAGACUCCUACGGGAGGCAGCAGUGGGGAAUUUUUGGGACAAUGGGCGCAAGCCUGAUCCAGCAAUGCCGCGUGCAGGAUGAAGGCC
Molecule: ribosomal RNA, 387 nt
Filed under: uncultured bacterium
Lineage: Bacteria
Description: bacterial SSU rRNA
Rfam family: Bacterial small subunit ribosomal RNA
Source: RNAcentral